UGCGUAGGUGGUUUCUUAAGUCAGGAGUGAAAGGCUACGGCUCAACCGUAGUAAGCUCUUGAAACUGGGAAACUUGAGUGCAGGAGAGGAAAGGGGAAUUCCCAGUGUAGCGGUGAAAUGCGUAGAUAUUGGGAGGAACACCAGUGGCGAAGGCGCCUUUCUGGACUGUGUCUGACGCUGAGAUGCGAAAGCCAGGGUAGCGAACG
This 206-nucleotide ribosomal RNA is filed under the name uncultured bacterium. RNAcentral describes it as "partial 16S ribosomal RNA". It matches the Rfam family "Bacterial small subunit ribosomal RNA", at positions 568 to 774 of the family's 1533-position model. The record is from RNAcentral.